Molecule: long non-coding RNA, 205 nt
Filed under: Vigna radiata
Lineage: Eukaryota; Viridiplantae; Streptophyta; Magnoliopsida; Fabales; Fabaceae
Description: long non-coding RNA (VRAD_LNC012830)
Source: RNAcentral
CGACACCCAUCAUGCCAUCAAAAGGACUUUUCCAAGGCUUGUAAUGAGGUUGGGCUAAGAAGAAAGAAUUGGUUUUUCUAGAAUGCAAAAUCCUUGAGUCAAGAGAGCUAUUAAAAUAUUCAACAUUUAAGCACAACUCUCUUCCUCACCAAUCUCUCUCAUUCCCAACUUUUCCCUUUUCUUUUUCUUUUGCAUUGAGCUUUUU